Molecule: ribosomal RNA, 1223 nt
Filed under: uncultured organism
Description: bacterial SSU rRNA
Rfam family: Bacterial small subunit ribosomal RNA
Source: RNAcentral
CCUAACACAUGCAAGUCGAGCGCGAAAGGCCUCGGGUUGAGUAGAGCGGCGGACGGGUGAGUAACGCGUAGGAGUCUACCUGGUAAUGGGGGACAACUCGGUGAAACUCGAGCUAAUACCGAAUACGCCCUAAGGGGGAAAGCCUGGGGAUCUUCGGAGCUCGCGCUAUUGGAUGAGCCUGCGUAGGAUCAGCUGGCUGGUGUGGUAAAGGCCUACCAAGGCGACGAUCCAUAGCUUGUCGGAUAGGAUGAUCAGCCACUCCGGGACUGAGACACGGCCCGGACUCCUACGGGAGGCAGCAAUGGCGAAUAUUGCGCAACUGGGGGCAACCCUGGCGCACCCAUGCCGCGUGUGUGACGAAUGCCUUCGGGUAGGACUGCACUUUCACUUGGGAAUAAACGCUGGCGGAUAAUACCCGCCAGAAUUGACAUUACCUUGAGAAGAAACACCGGCUAACUCCGUUCCAGCAUCCGCGGUACUACGGAGGGUACGAUCGUUAAUCGGAAUUACUGGGCGUAAAGCGCGCGUAGGGGGUUUGUUAAGUCGGAUGUGAAAUCCCCGGGCUCAACCUGGGAAUCGCACCCUAUACUGGACGACUGGAGUGCGAGAGAGGGAGGUAGAAUUCCACAUGUAGCGGGUGAAAUGCGUAGAUAUGUGCAGGAAUACCGGUGUCGAAGGCGGCCUCCUGGCUCGACACAGACGCUGAGGUGCGAAAGCGUGGGGAGCAAACAGGAAUAGAUACCCUGGUAGUCCACGCCGUAAACGAUGUCGACUAGCCGUCGGGGAACAUGAGUCCUUGGUGGCGCAGUUAACGCGAUAAGUCGACCGCCUAGGGAGUACGGCCGCAAGGUUAAAACUCAAGUGAAUGGACGGGGGCCCGCACAAGCGCUGGAGCAUGUGGUUUAAUUCGAUGCAACGCGAAGAACCUUACCAGGCCUGGACAGCCUCGGAAUCCUGCAGAGAUGCGGGAGUGCCUUCGGGAAUCAAGUGACAGGUGCUGCAUGGCUGUCUUAGGCUCGUCUCGUGAGAUGUUGGGUAAAGUCCCGUAACGAGCGCAACCCCUGUCCUUAGUUGCCAGCGCGUAAUGGUGGGUACUCUGAGGAGACUGACGGUGACAAACCGUAGGAAGGUGGGGACGACGUCAAGUCAUCAUGGCCCUUACGGCAUGGGCUACACACGUGCUACAAUGGAACGCACAGAGGGCACCGACCCCGCGAGGGUGA